GGACGGCAAGGCAAUCUGGUUAUGAUGUUUGUCCUGGAACUAAUUUUUAAAUCACUUCGGUCAAUCUGACUGACUAGGCAGGGAUCACCCUCAUGCCUUAGCUAUCCAUGUUAUUCUUCCCAAUGCUAUGUGCUUUGGUUGAAAAAGAUAGUCUUCUCUUAUACAGAAAUGGAUUCUUAGGUCAAGAAUCAAUAAGCAGAUACAUUCCCUUCCUGAGGCUCUAAACAAAUGCUCAAAGUCUUUCUGUAAGAGAAUAUAAUGUCACAAAUAUUUUUCUCUGGCCUGUCAAGCAAUAAGGUACUUUUACUGUUUU
RNAcentral lists this small nuclear RNA (313 nucleotides) under Monodelphis domestica (gray short-tailed opossum). Its description in RNAcentral is "7SK RNA". It matches the Rfam family "7SK RNA". Rfam says of the family: 7SK was discovered as an abundant small nuclear RNA in the mid-70s but a possible function has only recently been suggested. Two independent studies have found that 7SK RNA binds the CDK9/cyclin T complex (known as elongation factor P-TEFb). P-TEFb activates transcription by phosphorylating the C-terminal domain of RNA polymerase II. Lineage: Eukaryota; Metazoa; Chordata; Mammalia; Didelphimorphia; Didelphidae. The record is from Rfam by way of RNAcentral.